GACGAACGCUGGCGGCGCGCCUAACACAUGCAAGUCGAACGAGAGAGAGGAAGCUUGCUUCCUUAAUCGAGUGGCGAACGGGUGAGUAACGCGUGAGGAACCUGCCUCAAAGAGGGGGACAACAGUUGGAAACGACUGCUAAUACCGCAUAAUGUCAUUUGGGGGCAUCCCUGGAUGACCAAAGAUUUAUUGCUGAAAGAUGACCUCGCGUCUGAUUAGCUGGUUGGUGAGGUAAUGGCUCACCAAGGCGACGAUCAGUAGCCGGACUGAGAGGUUGAACGGCCACAUUGGGACUGAGAUACGGCCCAA
RNAcentral lists this ribosomal RNA (309 nucleotides) under uncultured bacterium. RNAcentral describes it as "bacterial SSU rRNA". It matches the Rfam family "Bacterial small subunit ribosomal RNA", at positions 28 to 334 of the family's 1533-position model. The record is from RNAcentral.